AAACUUUGCAAUACACGAAAGUGUGACAGGGCUAUCCCGAGUGCCAUCCGCUGAGGAAGGCUUUUACCCAGUCUAGAAAGCUGGGGGAAUAAGGAGAGGGCAAGUCUGGUGUCAGCCGCCGCGGUAAUACCAGCUCUCCGAGUGGUGUGGAUGUUUAUUGGGCCUAAAGCAUCCGUAGCUGGCUAAGUUAGUCCCUUGUUAAAUCCACCGAAUUAAUCGUUGGAUUGCGGGGGAUACUGCUUAGCUAGGGGACGAGAGAGGCAGACGGUAUUUCCGGGGUAGGGGUGAAAUCCUAUAAUCCCGGGAAGACCACCAGUGGCGAAGGCUGUCUGCUAGAACGCGCCCGACGGUGAGGGAUGAAAGCUGGGGGAGCGAACCGGAUUAGAUACCCGGGUAGUCCCAGCUGUAAACGAUGCAAACUAGGUGUUUGAACGGCCACGUGCCGUUCUAGUGCCGCAGGGAAGCUGUUAAGUUUGCCGCCUGGGGAGUACGAUCGCAAGAUUGAAACUUAAAGGAAUUGGCGGGGGAGCACCACAAGGGGUGAAGCUUGCGGUUU
Molecule: ribosomal RNA, 556 nt
Filed under: uncultured Thermofilum sp.
Lineage: Archaea; Thermoproteati; Thermoproteota; Thermoprotei; Thermofilales; Thermofilaceae
Description: bacterial SSU rRNA
Rfam family: Archaeal small subunit ribosomal RNA
Source: RNAcentral